AACGCACCUUGCGCCCCUUGGCAUUCCGAGGGGCACACCCGUUUGAGUGUCGUGAAAUCUUCAAAACCCUUUUCUUUGAUCCAUUUCGGUCGGGAAAAGGAUUUUUGGACUUGGAGGUUCAAUGCUCGCCCUUUCUUUUGAAAGCGAGCUCCUCUUAAAUGAAUCAGUGGGGUCCGCUUUGCUGAUCCUUGACGUGAUAAGAUGUUUCUACGUUUUGGGUUUAGCACUGUCCCUUGGACGCCUGCUCCUAACCGUCUCACCGACAACGAUGGUGCUCUGGUCACCGCCGUCUACAUCGGCGGGAGGCUGGACCCACAAAAAGAAAACCUUGACCUCAAAUCGGGUGAGACUACCCGCUGAACUUAA
This 366-nucleotide unclassified non-coding RNA is filed under the name uncultured Russulaceae. RNAcentral's name for it is "sequence contains ITS2". The record is from RNAcentral. Lineage: Eukaryota; Fungi; Basidiomycota; Agaricomycetes; Russulales; Russulaceae.